RNAcentral lists this ribosomal RNA (371 nucleotides) under uncultured bacterium. RNAcentral's name for it is "bacterial SSU rRNA". It matches the Rfam family "Bacterial small subunit ribosomal RNA", at positions 527 to 896 of the family's 1533-position model. The record is from RNAcentral.
AGAGGUGGCAAGCGUUGUUCGGAAUUACUGGGCGUAAAGGGCGCGUAGGCGGUCCGAUAAGUCCCGUGUGAAAUCCCUCGGCUCAACUGAGGAACCGCACGGGAAACUGCCGGGCUUGAGUUCGGGAGAGGGAAGCGGAAUUCCGGGUGUAGCGGUGAAAUGCGUAGAUAUCCGGAGGAACACCGGUGGCGAAGGCGGCUUCCUGGACCGACACUGACGCUGAGGCGCGAAAGCUAGGGGAGCAAACGGGAUUAGAUACCCCGGUAGUCCUAGCUGUAAGCGAUGAGUGCUGGGUGUAGGGGGUAUUAACCCCCCCUGUGCCGAAGCUAACGCAUUAAGCACUCCGCCUGGGGAGUACGGUCGCAAGGCUG